GGCCGCCAGCCAUCAGAAAAUGGCCCAGCGCCGCCAUAGCUCCGCUUUUUUUCCCCCAUCGCCGCCUUAAAACCCUCGAUCGCCGCCACCACAAACGACAAGAGUACCAGCACCGGGCAACCCCUUCAAGCCUCUCUACCGCGCCACCAGCAACCCCAAUUCAACCCAUUUGCCGCCCUUUUGAUCAUCACAGCCUCACCGGAGUUGAUGACCGGAGAGGUUUUGAUAGAUUUCCACUUUAAUGUUGUUCAAUUUUGGUGUAAGUUUCAAGUUGGUGACCUUUGCUUAUGAUUACCCCAAAACAGGUUCUUAAUCUUUUAAAAUUUGUGAUGUUUCAUGUGUGAUUUUGACUUGACUAUGUUGAUUUCAUGUUUAUCUACACCUGUUCACUGACAUAUACGGAAACUCCCAAAUUUGCAUGACUUUUGGUUAAACCCUAAUCUGUGAUUUGAAUUACGAUUCUCUUUUGUGCAGUUGUUAUAAAUUUUAUCACUAAGGUAAUAUCAAAUUUAGCCGUAAUUAUGCUUGUCCCUACUCUCUUAAUUUUUAAACAUUUAGCUUGUGUGAAUUUUGAAAUCACGACAGUCUUGUGAUAGAUUGAUAGACUAAUUUUCGUGCUUAGAUCCUGAUCUCAUGCGAUUAUGUUUGGUAACUUUGAUUUUUGUGCUUAAUUGCAAUCACAUGAUUAAGGGACAAUCUUAUAUUGUUAGUUACUUUUAUUCUCAUGUUUUGGGCGAGUAUUAGUGUCGCCCACUCGCAUAUUAUCUCUCUUAAAUUCAAAUUAUGAGACCUGACCUUUUAGUCUAAAAUAUGGCAAUUAGAGAUUUACUUGCUUGUGUAGUUGAUUUUAAAAGGAGUGAUCUCCUUGUUUGGAUAGUUUUAAUUUUUUAUGACUGAGUUUUUUCCCCCUUAAUUAUGGAAAGAUUUAUGGGUUUGAUUUCUUUGGACUGGCUUUUAGCACACUAAUUAUGGUAUGGUUUUGAUGACUGAUUUUACACCCUUAAAUUAUGGUAUAAAUUAUAUGUCUUAUAAAUCUAAUACUACGGGAUUGAUAUAUUCUAAUGUCUUCUUUUAUGGUAAAUAUAACACUAAAUUGAUUUUUCCUCUCCCAAUUGAUUUUUGAUAUGUUUUCUCCUCUUUAAUUGCUGCAAUUGAUUUCUUUCAAUAUGUCUUUCCUUUUAUGUUACGACAUCUAACGCUAUAUAAAGAACUCUUAUUCUCAAUUAACAGACUGUUCUUCCAUUACAAUUACUACUCUCUAAAACAAACAAUAAGAAUUACUGGCUAUUUUUAAUACAAGACAAUUAUAUAUUUUGAGGCUUACGGAAAACAUCUUGCAUACUUCACAUACUUCACUGUGCUUGGCUUUAUUUUAUUUUUUUAUUGCUGCUCAUUGGCAAGUUCCUCAUCAAUGUAUUUACAUAUUAAUGUAUUUACAUAUUAGAAAGCAUGCCUAUAGGAUUAGUUUGAAACAAUCACUUGCUGCUUACUUGUUGUGCCGUGAUUGAUUGUUUCAAUAUGCCUGUCCAUGUGUGUAUAUGUCCCGUGCUUGCAUUGUUUUUCCAUUAUAUUCAACCGGUAUUAUUAGAAGCGGAUUUCAAAGAGUCGCCGGGAUGUUUAAACUGACUAUGUAUUCUUUAUAGCUAGUUGUUUCUCUUCUUAUGUUUCGUAUUAUUCAGUUUGUAAUAUUAUUGUAAAGACAUUGUUAUUGUUGUAAUAAUAAAUUUGGGGACUGCUUCGGGGGCGGGGACUUACAUGCUCUGUGGAUAACAUAGGUAGGCACCACUUAGGAUUUUACGUGUAAUUACGUGCUAUAUGGAUCACUUAAUAUUCAAAGCAUUUGAACGCUUAAGCCUUAACUUAUCCACGUCAUUGCAUGUUUAGUCAUGUUAACGCAAUUUAGGCAUAUUAAAAUGAAUUUGAGCACGUUAAUAUUGUGCGCAUGUCAAUAAUUAAUUUUUGAACAUUGCUGCAUUUUUAACAUGUUAGACACUUAGAUUAUGUCAUUUCAAGUUUGUAACAUAUAAACAAUAUUUAAGCAUGACAAUAUGGUAUGCAUGUUAACAAUUAAUUUUAUGCAUAGUAAUGAAUUUUUUUCAGCAUGAAUUAAUUAUGUUAUUGCAUAGCAUGUAAACACAAAUCUUAGUGUUCUACUAUUUUUAGAGCAUCAUAACAUUAAUUCCUGCACGUUAAUAUAAUUUUAGUAUGUUAAAACGCCAAAUUCAGCAUGUUGAUGCAUCUUUGUGCAUAAUUCCAGCAUGAUAAAUCAAUUUCCAGCGUAGACAAUUAAAGAAUAGAGUUUCAUUUCGAAAAGCAAUGAAGAAGGCUAUUGAAUUAACAGAACAAGCAGAUACAAAAGGAAUUCAAAUACAAAUUGCGGGGCGUAUCGACGGAAAAGAAAUUGCACGUGUCGAAUGGAUCAGAGAAGGUAGAGUUCCCCUACAAACGAUUCGAGCUAAAAUUGAUUAUUGCUCUUAUACAGUUCGAACUAUCUAUGGAGUAUUGGGCAUCAAAAUUUGGAUAUUUCUAGACGAGGAAUAAUUUUACUACUUGUCUUUCCCUUCUAUCCAAUGAUUGUACAAAAAAAGACCAAUUCAUUCUUUUUCUAAUCAAUCAAGGGGAACAUUUCUAAUUCUUAAUUCUAUAAGGUUGAAUAAAAAUUCGAUUGACCAUUUGAUAUAAUUGCUAUGCUUAGUGUGUGACUCGUUGGUUUUUUUAGGGUUAGGAUUAAAAAGACCAGCCCACAUAGUAUGAACUAAAAACUAUAGAACUAAUAACCAACCCAUCACUUCGCAUUAUCUGGAUCUAAAGAACCAGUCAAGAUAUGAUAUAUAGGUCAUAUCUUUGUAGCAACUGAAAUCUUUUGCAUAAACAAAAAACGAAAUCUGAUUCUAAGUUGUAAAGCAAAAUAAAGAAAAAAGAUGUGGAUAAAUGGAAGGAUGAGAGAAAGAGAGAAAAAGAAUACCAAUGAUAUAAAAUUCCAAUAUGUAAGGUCUAUGAGUAAUCUCAUGAAAGGCAGUGUAAUAAAGCAUCAAUAUGCAUUCAUACCAUAAUAAAAAGAAUCUUCUUUAUAGAAAUAUAGAAAUAGAACAAAAAAUCAAGAGCUUCGAGCCAAUAAAGACUGAGAAGAUUGACUCAAGAACCAAUUUCAUUCUGAGCUCCAUUGUAGAAUUCGGACCUAACCAUUAAGUCAGAAGUGAUGGGAACGACGGAACUUGUGAAUGCAAAAGAUUCUAUUGAACAAGGAAUCUUAAUGAUUCACUGGUCGGGAUGGCGGAACGAACCAGAGAUUAAUUCAUGUAUUCUGAGAUCUGAGAAAUCACGAGUUAACCCUACAAAUGAAAUAGGGAUUGAAAGAGUAAAUAUUCGCCCGCGAAAACUUUUUUUAUUGAAAAAUUUAGGACAAUACAAUAAAGGACAAAAUAAGGAUUUGGUAUAAUAAUACAAUUUUUUAUAUUUCUAUUUAUAAAACUAAAAAGUUUAGUUAUCUAUUCAAACAAGAUAUAAAAAUUACUAAUAGAUUUAAUGAAAUCUCAAAGAAGCCCACGUUCAAGGUAUUACUCAGUAAAUACAUAUAUAUCUUAACUUAAGAUUGACUCUUCUAGCUUAAUUCAAAUUGAAUUUUUUGGAAUCCUUUUAUUCGCGAGGAGCUGGAUGAGAAGAAACUCUCACGUCCGGUUCUGUAGUAGAGAUGGAAUUCAGAAACAACCAUCAACUAUAACCCCAAAAGAACCAGAUUCCGUAAACAACAUAGAGGAAGAAUGAAGGGAAUAUCUUAUCGAGGUAAUCAUAUUUCUUUCGGUAAAUAUGCUCUUCAAGCACUUGAACCUGCUUGGAUUACAUCUCGACAAAUAGAAGCAGGCCGACGAGCAAUGACACGAAAUGCACGUCGUGGUGGAAAAAUAUGGGUACGUAUAUUUCCAGACAAACCAGUUACACUAAGACCCGCAGAAACACGUAUGGGUUCAGGAAAAGGAUCCCCUGAAUAUUGGGUAGCUGUUGUUAAACCGGGGCGAAUACUUUAUGAAAUGGGUGGAGUAACAGAAAAUAUAGCCAGAAGGGCUAUUUCACUAGCAGCAUCCAAAAUGCCUAUACGAACUCAAUUCAUUAUUUCGUAAUGUAAUAGACAAAAAUGUAGAAAGGGCUCUUAGAUAUGAAACAAAACCACAUGUUUCUUUUUUUUUGGACAAAAAUAUUUCUUUUUUUUUCUUCGCCCUUUGCAUUCAAAUGCAUUCAAAUAACGGAUUAAAAAAAUGAUUCAACCUCAGACCCAUUUAAAUGUAGCAGAUAAUAGCGGGGCUCGAGAAUUGAUGUGUAUUCGAAUCAUAGGAGCUAGCAAUCGUCGAUAUGCUCAUAUUGGUGACGUUAUUGUUGCUGUGAUCAAAGAAGCAGUACCAAAUAUGCCCCUAGAAAGAUCAGAAGUAGUCAGGGCUGUAAUUGUGCGUACCUGUAAAGAACUCAAACGUGACAACGGGAUAAUAAUACGAUAUGAUGACAAUGCUGCGGUUGUUAUUGAUCAAGAAGGAAAUCCAAAAGGAACUCGAAUUUUUGGUGCAAUCGCCCGGGAAUUGAGAGAAUUAAAUUUUACUAAAAUAGUUUCAUUAGCUCCCGAGGUAUUAUAAAAUGAAAUUGUGAUCUGUUUCUAGUAGGGUAUUUGAAAGAAAUAGAUUAAUUAGUAGAUUGUGUCUCACGCAUAUAUCUUUAAUAAUUCAUAUCAUAUUCAAAAAUAAAUAAGUAAAAAACACGUUGAUUAUAUCAAAUUUGGAGAACCCAAUAAUUUAAGUUCAUCAUGGGCAGGGACACUAUUGCUGAGAUAAUAACUUCUAUCACAAGAACAUUCUGUAGUCUUAGUAAGAGGGGGAAAAAGCCUAGCCUUUCCCUUACCGACGAGUGAGUACCCUUUGGCUUCCGCCAACAGUGAACUAUUAAGGAUCGCAUCCCGCGCAUAUUGAGACCUCCCUCUGUCGCAAUAGAAAUCGGGCCGCCAGCCAUCAGAAAAUGGCCCAGCGCCGCCAUAGCUCCGCUUUUUUUCCCCCAUCGCCGCCUUAAAACCCUCGAUCGCCGCCACCACAAACGACAAGAGUACCAGCACCGGGCAACCCCUUCAAGCCUCUCUACCGCGCCACCAGCAACCCCAAUUCAACCCAUUUGCCGCCCUUUUGAUCAUCACAGCCUCACCGGAGUUGAUGACCGGAGAGGUUUUGAUAGAUUUCCACUUUAAUGUUGUUCAAUUUUGGUGUAAGUUUCAAGUUGGUGACCUUUGCUUAUGAUUACCCCAAAACAGGUUCUUAAUCUUUUAAAAUUUGUGAUGUUUCAUGUGUGAUUUUGACUUGACUAUGUUGAUUUCAUGUUUAUCUACACCUGUUCACUGACAUAUACGGAAACUCCCAAAUUUGCAUGACUUUUGGUUAAACCCUAAUCUGUGAUUUGAAUUACGAUUCUCUUUUGUGCAGUUGUUAUAAAUUUUAUCACUAAGGUAAUAUCAAAUUUAGCCGUAAUUAUGCUUGUCCCUACUCUCUUAAUUUUUAAACAUUUAGCUUGUGUGAAUUUUGAAAUCACGACAGUCUUGUGAUAGAUUGAUAGACUAAUUUUCGUGCUUAGAUCCUGAUCUCAUGCGAUUAUGCUUGGUAACUUUGAUUUUUGUGCUUAAUUGCAAUCACAUGAUUAAGGGACAAUCUUAUAUUGUUAGUUACUUUUAUUCUCAUGUUUUGGGCGAGUAUUAGUGUCGCCCACUCGCAUAUUAUCUCUCUUAAAUUCAAAUUAUGAGACCUGACCUUUUAGUCUAAAAUAUGGCAAUUAGAGAUUUACUUGCUUGUGUAGUUGAUUUUAAAAGGAGUGAUCUCCUUGUUUGGAUAGUUUUAAUUUUUUAUGACUGAGUUUUUUCCCCCUUAAUUAUGGAAAGAUUUAUGGGUUUGAUUUCUUUGGACUGAAAUAACAAAAUCCAAUGCCUCUUGGACGAUAGGUGGGACGAUAAGUAUUACUAAAGUCGUUAGUUUUAUCCUUGUCGUAGAAUGCCUUUAGACUUUACAACUAGCCUAGGUGGGGUGGGGUAGGUAGUCAUUCAAAAGUGAUGAUCCCAACAGAUAUGGACGGUAAGACUAAUGACAUUGUCACUUGUCUAAGAGUUCGGCCGGUGGGUCGGAAGAUGAUUAAACAAGUUGGUUUUCUGAUCCGAAUGAGACCAACACAUUUCUUUGUUUGAUUUGAUGAAUUCCUUUUAUUCUUUUAUUUUCCUUACGUGCUUAUUUAUUUGGGGUAAUUAGUUAAUUAUAUAAGCAGUUCUCCUUGUUAUAAAUUAUGUUGUUUCUUUCUCCUUGCUUGUCUUUUUAUACGUUUUAUUGACUUUUAUCACUUAGUUAAUUAAUAACUAGAAUAAUGAAAUAAUAUGUUUUGUUCAUCAAUUGUUUUAUCACUUAGUUAACAUUAAAUUAAUAAUCAAACAAGAGACCUUAUUUGAGCACAUAGAAUCCCCACGUAAAAUACGAAUUUGGUCGGGAACCAUUUUUGUGGAUCUCGAAAGGUGCCUAACACCUUCCUUUCGAGGUAAUUUGAACCCUUACUCGAAUCUCUGGUGAACUAAGACAAAACAACAAAAGUAGGUUCGUAGUAGCCUAGACCGGUGCCCUAAUGCACCUUAAUUCGUUAGGUGGCGACUCUUCACACUCACCUCUCAAACAAUCCCCAAAAAGUGGU
Molecule: long non-coding RNA, 6693 nt
Filed under: Capsicum annuum
Lineage: Eukaryota; Viridiplantae; Streptophyta; Magnoliopsida; Solanales; Solanaceae
Source: RNAcentral